UGGGGGAUAUUGCACAAUGGAGGAAACUCUGAUGCAGCAACGCCGCGUGAAGGAUGAAGGUCUUCGGAUUGUAAACUUUUGUACUUGGGGACGAUAAUGACGGUACCCAAGCAGCAAGCUCCGGCUAACUACGUGCCAGCAGCCGCGGUAAUACGUAGGGAGCAAGCGUUGUCCGGAUUUACUGGGUGUAAAGGGUGCGUAGGCGGCUAUGCAAGUCAGUUGUGAAAACUAUGGGCUCAACCCAUAGCCUGCAAUUGAAACUGCGUGGCUUGAGUGAAGUAGAGGUAGGUGGAAUUCCCGGUGUAGCGGUGAAAUGCGUAGAGAUCGGGAGGAACACCAGUGGCGAAGGCGACCUACUGGGCUUUAACUGACGCUGAGGCACGAAAGCAUGGGUAGCAAACAGGAUUAGAUACCCUGGUAGUCCAUGCCGUAAACGAUGAUUACU
RNAcentral lists this ribosomal RNA (445 nucleotides) under uncultured bacterium. RNAcentral's name for it is "partial 16S ribosomal RNA". It matches the Rfam family "Bacterial small subunit ribosomal RNA", at positions 355 to 817 of the family's 1533-position model. The record is from RNAcentral.